RNAcentral lists this ribosomal RNA (484 nucleotides) under uncultured bacterium. RNAcentral describes it as "bacterial SSU rRNA". It matches the Rfam family "Bacterial small subunit ribosomal RNA", at positions 30 to 507 of the family's 1533-position model. The record is from RNAcentral.
AUUGAACGCUGGCGGCAGGCCUAACACAUGCAAGUCGAGCGGUAGAGAGGUGCUUGCAUCUCUUGAGAGCGGCGGACGGGUGAGUAAUGCCUAGGAAUCUGCCUAGUGGUGGGGGAUAACGUUCGGAAACGGACGCUAAUACCGCAUACGUCCUACGGGAGAAAGCGGGGGAUCUUCGGACCUCGCGCCAUUAGAUGAGCCUAGGUCGGAUUAGCUAGUUGGUGAGGUAAUGGCUCACCAAGGCGACGAUCCGUAACUGGUCUGAGAGGAUGAUCAGCCACAUUGGGACUGAGACACGGCCCAAACUCCUACGGGAGGCAGCAGUGGGGAAUUUUGGACAAUGGGCGCAAGCCUGAUCCAGCAAUGCCGCGUGCAGGAUGAAGGCCUUCGGGUUGUAAACUGCUUUUGUACGGAACGAAACGGUGAGCUCUAAUACAGUUUGCUAAUGACGGUACCGUAAGAAUAAGCACCGGCUAACUACGUG